Molecule: transfer RNA, 116 nt
Filed under: Caudoviricetes sp.
Lineage: Duplodnaviria; Heunggongvirae; Uroviricota; Caudoviricetes
Description: tRNA-Phe
Source: RNAcentral
GGGCAAUUAGCUCAGUUAGGCAGAGCGGUACAUGAAAAUUGUUGGUAGUUUGUCAUGGUAUCUUUUUAAUGGUUUCAUCAUGUACAGGUCGCGGUGUUCAAGUCCCGCAUUGUCCA